CUUAAAAAUGCUAGGUAGCGAUAAAGUUUCGACCUUUACCCUGAGUGAUACUCUUUUAAGG
RNAcentral lists this transfer RNA (61 nucleotides) under Monacha cartusiana. Its description in RNAcentral is "tRNA-Arg". Lineage: Eukaryota; Metazoa; Mollusca; Gastropoda; Stylommatophora; Hygromiidae. The record is from RNAcentral.